AUUGAACGCUGGCGGCAUGCUUUACACAUGCAAGUCGAACGGCCGCGCGGGCUUCGUCCUGGCGGCGCGUGGCGAACGGGUGAGUAAUACAUCGGAACGUGCCCAGUAGUGGGGGAUAGCUCGGCGAAAGCCGGAUUAAUACCGCAUACGACCUGAGGGUGAAAGCGGGGGAUCUUCGGACCUCGCGCUAUUGGAGCGCCCGGUGGCAGAUUAGCUAGUUGGUAGGGUAAGGGCCUACCAAGGCGACGAUCUGUAGCUGGUCUGAGAGGACGACCAGCCACACUGGGACUGAGACACGGCCCAGACUCCUACGGGAGGCAGCAGUGGGGAAUUUUGGACAAUGGGCGAAAGCCUGAUCCAGCAAUGCCGCGUGUGUGAUGAAGGCCUUCGGAUUGUAAAGCACUUUUGGCGGGAAAGAAAAGGACUGUGCCAAUACCACGGUUCGAUGACGGUACCCGCAGAAUAAGCACCGGCUAACUACGUG
Molecule: ribosomal RNA, 484 nt
Filed under: uncultured bacterium
Lineage: Bacteria
Description: partial 16S ribosomal RNA
Rfam family: Bacterial small subunit ribosomal RNA
Source: RNAcentral